UUCUCUCUCUCUCUCUCUUUCUCCCUAUUUUUAGGUGAAGUACGCGCGUGCGCUCACUUCGCCGGAGCUCGUAUAGUUCCUCUGCGAUCUCCGAAGAAACUCACAAAAACCCUCCCCUACUCGUCCAGUUGUAUACUAUGUAGAUUUCUCGCCCUUUCUUUAUCUCCUUUGCCAGCAUCUUAAAGCUUUGAAAAAAUAUAAAAUAAAAGCCCUUUCUUAAGCUGCACUGCUGUUGAAUCACUCCCCCCUCUUCGGUUGAUGCCUGUUGGCUGUGGUCGCCAACACUAAAUCAAUCGCUGAGGGAUGCGCGUAUUAGGCAUCUUAUGGUGUACGUGAGUUGGGGAAGGAGGGGGGAUAAAACAAUCGGCAAAGAAGCCGAGAGUGGACAGUGAUUAAGAAUUCAACAGUCGGCGGCGAAUGGAUAAAAACAAGGACAUCAGCGACACGGACGGCCAAUAUAGAAGGACGACGUUAUAGACGACAGCGCACAAGAUUCAACGAGACGAUUUCCAAAAUCGGACGGGCCAUCUGACACAAGUAUCUUGGCCAAAUGGCUUUUGUGCCCGUUUUUAUUUCUCUGUUUAUACUUCAACUAUCGACGCGUGUGUACAAAGUAGGUACGCAAACACACAAGAUCGUCCUCUCCCUUGUGUCCACACAGCAAAGGAAAUAAACGAUAACAAGAAGAAAACGGUCAUCGCAGAAAAAGGAGUUUCAAAUUUCUAGGUCGAUAGAGAGUCGACAAAAGUCUCAAAACAUUUUCUUCUUCUUCUUCUUCUACUCAUUAUUUUAUUGUAGCGAUGGCGCUCUCUCUUUUUCUUUGCUAGUCGCUUUUGUCGAAGUUGCUGUGCGCAUUCCCGCGUGUUGUUUUUCGUAAUCGAGCGAGACGGCAACGGCUUUUUAGUGUCGCGCAACCGACUCACGAACCUCGCCGGCUCGACGAUGUCCCGAACUAUAGGAAUCUUUCAGCCACAAAAAAAUAAAAUAAAAUAAUGGCGAUGUUAGAUUCGUAUAAGGUUGACUAUAUUACAAAAGAGUCUGAAGAAACAGCGCCAUUAGGUUUGCCAUUUCAAGUCACGUCGCUCUUUUGCCGUUGUCGCCAACGAAUUAAGGGGACGGCCGUAUUUUCAAAUUCUAUUGGUUAAAGCGAAUGAAAAUAUAUGUACAAAGUGUUGGGGUCCAGCAACUUCGAUACCGGGCUGUAUAUGACCCAUCAAUAAAGACGAAGAUGGGACGAACAAGAGAAAUAGGAGACGGAUACGGCGCUUAGCUGGACGUCUGACGGGACUGACGACCGUUGCUGUUUUGAAUGUUUGAAUUGCUGCCAAUGUCUUUUUUUUUUGUGUGAUCAGUUGUGUACGUUUUCUUCUUUCAUUUCUGUCCUGCACACAAUCGAAAAAGGAAAAACAAAUAUCCGCGUUUAGUGGAUGGUGUUGCCCUUUUACAGGCCAAAAGAUGAAUUCAAUUCCUUUUGGUAUAGCAAAAACAGAAAACGGACUGAAAGCGCUUUGGUGUUCUACUGUGGCAAGAAAUAACAGAAAUACAUUAGAGGGAGGGGGUUGAAAAACAGAAGGAAAUAAAUAGGAGGAUCGGAGGACGAUGAGAAAUGGCCGGUGCGUGCUGCGAAGAGAUGCCUGGAAAAAAAAACCCAAAAUUGAUGCUGGGAACUGGCUGUUGGACGUCUGUUUCUUUUCACCUCGUCUUUUGACUUUCUACAGAAAAUUCUUCUUCGUGUGUUCUUCUUUUUGCCCCUUUUCUUGUUUUAUUAUUAUUGAAAAAAUAAAAUUUUUUCUUUCCAAACGUUGGGCUGUUCUUCCUCUUCCCCACUCGAAUGGCCUUUUCUCUCUGAUGUCGACGGCAAAGUUCUUUCGCUUGUGUAACCAACUCUACACACAGUCUUCGAAAUAAUGUGUCGCUUGAGGGCUGGCCACCCUUUUUUUUACGCGACUGCCAUGAAUAUAUAUUUCCUCGUUUUCUCCUGUUCUCGUUCUCUUGAUUCAUUUUUAUCUCUUUUCCACCGUCUGCUAAUUCGUUCGCAGCAGCCGCGCUUACAGAAGCACCGGCACACACCACUGUUGCCACACACACACACACAGCAUUUACAAUGUUUGACGGCCAAGAGAAUACCUGACCCAAAGGUCUUCCAACAGAAACCCUUAUACAUUUUGGUUUUGUUUUUUAUUAUUUUCUUCUGUCUAAAGCCGCCAGCCCGCCCGGACCGGUCGGAUGAACGAUCCUCAUCUUGUCAGUCUUUUGUCUAUUAUUCACCUCUUAUUUUAUUUUUAUUUUUUUGUGUGUGUAAAUUUUGUUGUUUUAUUUUCUCUCUUUCCCUCUCCUGCAGCUCAUCAAAUUAUUUCUAUGAAUAACGUACCAAAAAAAAAAUAAAUAAAUAAGGCCUCGCCGUUGCUUAUAAUGAAGGUGCCCCAUCAGUUUCUUUUCCAUUUGGAAACUUUUUACGGCCGUUUUUAUGGCUGCUUUUCAUUCAUCUCACGGCCGAGCGCAGAGCCAUAUGCUGAUUUCCAGCAGGCAUCGGUAAUUAGGAGCAACCACACAAGGCAGCGUAAAAAGACAGGAACAACGAAGGUACAACAAUCGCUAACCACCUUGAUUUUUUCUGCCCAAAUUCUUUAUUUUUUCCUGGAUUUUCUUUUUUGCAACCUGCCCCAAAAGAAAAUUAAAACCAUAAAUUAAAUAAAUACACAUCACAUAUGCCGACGAUGGUUGCGUGUUUCAUUAUUUUAUACGCGCUAUCGUAAAAAAAAAAACUGUAGAAAAUUAUAAAGGGAACAAGACGAAGGCCAAACAGCUGAGGCUGCGCUGCAAAGCGCAAAUGUUUCACGACAUAUCGUAGCUCUUCCUCCUUUUUUUUUUCUUUUUUUUUUGUCCAUGUGAUGCGCAUAGUUUUUUGUGACCUACAAGGAUAUAUUUGAAGUUUUCUUGGCAUCUGUCAACGCCAAAUGCACAACUGCUAAUCUGCAAAGCAACGGAAAAAUUGAGGGAACAGUUGGCUCCUGAAUGGCGGAGACAAAAUAGACUAAUAUAAUAUGCAAGAAGACAUAGCCUUGUGUGUCUACGUGUUUACUUUGCUGCCCCCCUCUUUUAUUUUGUUGUUUUGCAGUUUGCACGAGCGCAGCCGGAGAUGCAACAGCUGAUCGAUUUGCCAAAAUAUAACCGACGACGUUUUCGCCUCCAUCUCCCCCUGGCGUCAGUGACAUUUUUAUUGUUGUUACUUUUUGUGGCGUGUUAUCUUUUUUGUGUGUGUGUUUUGUUUCUUUAAGACUCUUGGACGACUUUUCUCUAUGCUUGACGAGUAGCCGUUGUUCGCCAAUUUGUUGAAGGGGCACCCCCUUGACGUGUUGGUCCAUUUCGGUGGUUGGGUUACCGCACCAAAAAAUCUCCCUGCAGUGGCUGGACAACAUCCACGUCGAAGAAGCAGCGCGCACAUGAGUGGCAAUUUGUCAGUGUGUUGACAUUCGCCAGACAAAACACACACUGUGCUGCGCAUAGACGUGAAAGAGAGAGAGAAGACACACUAGCCGAGAUGUAGUAGUUUAACAGCCGCUAAAGAAAGUUCGCCGGCUCACGUCAUUUGGUUUGCAUUUGGUCAAUUUUCGGAUUUUCCUAUUUUCUUUGACCUUUCUCUUGGUAUUCGUAUUUUUCUGUUUUGAAAGCUGCUGGGGGCUCCGGCACCUGUGUCCGUGUGUCCAGACUUCUUUUAUCUUCGUAUUUCCAUAGAAUAGAAAACGACAUGAUGGGGGGAGAGAGAGAGGAAAACAAAAGACAUAUGCUGGAUUUGCUUAGUCACUUGGGUCGUUCUCAUUUGGCUCUUUUUUCUUGUUCCCAAUUCUUUGUUGUCUCUCUUAUGUCUCUUGUUGUCCACCUUUUGAAACAUUCUCAAACAAUAUUCUUUGGCUUCUUUGUUAUACCUUUUCUUAUUUUUUUUUGUUUUUUGUUUUUAUUACAUCGAAAUUUCUUUGAACAAACAAAUAACACGGCCAAUUCAAACAUAACAGGCUGCGUGACGCAAUUAAAAAAUUCAUUUCAUCCUCGUAUUAUUUCUUUGACUCUGAUAUUUUCGUACAGAUGAGUGAACAAUAGCCAAGUAAAUUUUGUUAGUUUUUUGUUGUUUUUUUUUUAAAAGAGUUUUCUGUUUAAACAAUUGGACUUUGGUCUGUCUCCAGGCGAACGUCAUUAAUCGACAUUUGAAUACAAUGGGUGAAUCGUGAAUUAGUUUGCUUUUCUUUUUUUUUGUUAUUCCAAUUCUUUUAAUACGACAUCAUUCCACCUUUUUAAAAAAUGCUUAACUAAUUCCUAGUAGCCACUCGUCUCGCGAGUUUAUCUUCUCUCUUCGAAAUAAUAAUAAUAAUAAUAAUAAAAAGGAAUCUACAUGAGAAAAAGCGUUUGGCAUUUGGAUUAGUGAGCAGUUCAGUCGGAGUUCAGUGACCGGCCCGUUUGGAAUCCGAAAAUGCCAGAUACAAGUAGUGCGUUACAUAGACUACAUUUUUGUCCUAUUCCUCUCUGACUUUUUAAUGUAUUAUUCACUGGUUGAAGAAUCCAUCCCUUUUGAAAAACAGUCGAUGAAAAAAACCCAGAAAAAAAAAAAAAAGGUUUUCAAAUAAUUUAGUGAAUUUGCAUAUGCAGUUUAUCUCUCACCUGUGCUUAUUCUUGACUAAACAUUCUCGUUCUUGCCUCAGAAACGCGGGUUCGUGAUCAAACUCUACGAUA
RNAcentral lists this long non-coding RNA (4725 nucleotides) under Daphnia magna. RNAcentral describes it as "uncharacterized LOC116918798". The record is from RNAcentral. Lineage: Eukaryota; Metazoa; Arthropoda; Branchiopoda; Diplostraca; Daphniidae.